Molecule: ribosomal RNA, 660 nt
Filed under: uncultured bacterium
Lineage: Bacteria
Description: bacterial SSU rRNA
Rfam family: Bacterial small subunit ribosomal RNA
Source: RNAcentral
UGCCCUUUGUACGGAAUAGCCUCUGGAAACGGAGAGUAAUACCGUAUGAGCCCUUCGGGGAAAGAUUUAUCGGUGAAGGAUUAGCCCGCGUCUGAUUAGAUAGUUGGUGGGGUAACGGCCUACCAAGUCGACGAUCAGUAGCUGGUUUGAGAGGAUGAUCAGCAACACUGGGACUGAGACACGGCCCAGACUCCUACGGGAGGCAGCAGUGGGGAAUCUUAGACAAUGGGCGCAAGUGAUCUAGCCAUGCCGCGUGAGUGACGAAGGCCUUAGGGUCGUAAAGCUCUUUCGCCAGGGAUGAUAAUGACAGUACCUGGUAAAGAAACCCCGGCUAACUCCGUGCCAGCAGCCGCGGUAAUACGGAGGGGGUUAGCGUUGUUCGGAAUUACUGGGCGUAAAGCGCGCGUAGGGGACUGGAAAGUUGGGGGUGAAAUCCCAGGGCUCAACCCUGGAACUGCCUCCAAAACUAUCAGUCUAGAGUUCGAGAGAGGUGAGUGGAAUUCCGAGUGUAGAGGUGAAAUUCGUAGAUAUUCGGAGGAACACCAGUGGCGAAGCGGCUCACUGGCUCGAUACUGACGCUGAGGUGCGAAAGUGUGGGGAGCAAACAGGAUUAGAUACCCUGGUAGUCCACACCGUAAACGAUGAAUGCCAGUCGUCGGG